Podarcis muralis (Common wall lizard) is the source of this 1917-nucleotide long non-coding RNA. RefSeq lists it as uncharacterized. The record is from RefSeq and is a predicted model, not a curated record. Lineage: Eukaryota; Metazoa; Chordata; Lepidosauria; Squamata; Lacertidae.
GGAGAACAGUGUGCGUGACCUUGAGCUCCUUGAAGGAAAGGGUUGUCUGGGAGACCAGCCUUUCCUAACUGUGAGCCCCCCAGGUAGUGGUGUACUACAAUCCCCAUCAUCCCUGACCACUGGAGAACUGAUGCUUUGCUCUUAGAGGUGGGAGCAGCAGCUGGAGACCAUCAGUGAAGUGACUGUGCCAUGUACCAGUGCCUACUCCAACCCGGGGAAUUGUGGUUGUCCUAUCAGCCAGUCCUCAAGUCUGCGGCUGUUGUUGCUGAAUGCCAGGUGGAAGCAUGAUGUCUCUCAUCCAUGAUCUCAUUGUAGAUGACGGCAGCCAACAAACUGAAGCUCGAUCCAGCAACCCUGCAUCCCCCUGAAUGGCAAGCAAAGGGCCUGCUAUCUAUGGACCGCUUGGAUUGACAUGUGAUCCAUGUGCUCAAAACGGCAAUGGAACAGCUGCUCUGGGUUUAAUUUGAAAGUCUCUGCCUUGAAUGCCAAAAACCUUGUGGGCGGAAUCUAUCACCAAUCAAGAAAAGCUUCUGAACGGAGAAAGAUUCAUUAAAAUUAUAGAUGUCAGCCGCAGUGAGGAAGAAAUGAGUGCUACGUUCUUAUUAUGACUUAGCUGGAUACUGUUGUCUACUAAUGAUUUUGUCUGGGUUAAUCUGAAGGCCACCUUUGCUGCCCAGUAAAAGACAACAUAGCAUGUUAACAAGAACAAAGAAAAUGCAGGACAAUACAUGACAUGGUUAGUUAAGAGAUUUCUCCAUCACCAAUACAUGUUUGGUUUGUUUCCUCUGGACUAAACAAACAAAUUAACCCUCACCAUUCAGAUCACCAGUGUUGGCAAAAGGGCAAUGUCUAACCCUUGAAGAAGGCUCUUGCCCUGGGCAUGCCAGUUUAUAUCCCGUUUAAUUUCAUGUUCAUUAGGAUGUCCUCAGCCACAGCCAGCCCUUCAUCACUUGGGUGAGCUUCUAAGAUGAACAGAGCUAACAUAAGUUGACGAUGAAGAGAAUCUCUCUCUGUACUGUUUUCCUAGAAUUUCAUUCUGAAGAGAAGUAUCUGCAUCACCUAAGGCUUUGUCAUUAACAUUUGUGAAUGGUCCCAUUUGAAGCAGGUUUGUAUUUUCAGGAGCAUGGAUUGUGAAGGGAAGGAGCUUUAACCCUUUGCCCCAGCCAUGGGCCCAGUUGGAAUUGCCCUCUCCCCCACCAUGCCUGCUAUUCACUAUUCACAGAGGAUUCCUAUGACUGUGAGUGGUGAGAGGUUCCAGGAGCAAAACCCCGCAAGACCAUUCUUUUGGAUGAGAGCACCCUGGAGACUUCAAAAGUUUGCUUUAUUUAUAAGUGGAGCAUAGUGGAAGCAAGCCAUUGGAGCGGGUGGCCAUCAUAUUGUGGGAAGGAAUUCCACAGUGUAACUACGUGUUGUGUGAAGAAGCACCUUCUUUGUCCAUCCACUUUUAAUGGCUGGCAAAAAAUCUGGAUUCGACCAGUGACAUGUGUGCACACAAGUGGACCGGCAUGAGACAAAGCAGAUGGAGUCAUUACGGGCACAGCUGUCACACACCAAAAUGACUUGUGAACUGGGCUUGAGAUGAAAUUGCUUCUAGCCUUUUCCAGUAGGCAGACCUUCACAGUAAGAUUCUAGGGUUAACCAAGGAAUAGUUGGACUGAAUUUUAUGAGCCCUUUAACACUUUUUGGUGUAUUUCAUAGCCGGGCAGGCUGAUCCUAUGAACUGGUAGGAGAGGGUAAGUUUCCCCAGGGUGCUCUUGGUGUGAACUGUAUGCCUGACGCUAUAGACUGUGCUCUUAGCAAUGCAGUAGCUCAAUGGAUGGUGCUGUAAUCGUCCCUGUGAACCUGGAGGCUCUUACCUGUAGAACAAUUGCUGGCACUGAGAAAAUCAUGGCUUCAUUAAACACUGGGUUUGUGUCA